CCUACGGGAGGCAGCAGUGAGGAAUAUUGGUCAAUGGACGAGAGUCUGAACCAGCCAAGUAGCGUGAAGGAUGACUGCCCUAUGGGUUGUAAACUUCUUUUAUAUGGGAAUAAAAUGUUCCACGUGUGGGAUUUUGUAUGUACCAUAUGAAUAAGGAUCGGCUAACUCCGUGCCAGCAGCCGCGGUAAUACGGAGGAUCCGAGCGUUAUCCGGAUUUAUUGGGUUUAAAGGGAACGUAGGUGGAUUGUUAAGUCAUUUGUGAAAGUUUGCGGCUCAACCCGAAAAUUGCAGUUGAAACUGGCAGUCUUGAGUACAGUAGAGGUGGGCAGAAUUCGUGGUGUAGCGGUGAAAUGCGUAGAUAUCACGAAGAACUCCGGUUGCGAAGGCAGCUCACUGGACUGCAACUGACACUGAGGCUCGAAAGUGUGGGUAGCAAACAGGAUUAGAUACUCCUGUAGUC
RNAcentral lists this ribosomal RNA (460 nucleotides) under uncultured bacterium. RNAcentral's name for it is "partial 16S ribosomal RNA". It matches the Rfam family "Bacterial small subunit ribosomal RNA", at positions 338 to 795 of the family's 1533-position model. The record is from RNAcentral.